RNAcentral lists this ribosomal RNA (224 nucleotides) under uncultured bacterium. RNAcentral's name for it is "partial 16S ribosomal RNA". It matches the Rfam family "Bacterial small subunit ribosomal RNA", at positions 524 to 747 of the family's 1533-position model. The record is from RNAcentral.
UACGUAGGGUGCGAGCGUUAAUCGGAAUUACUGGGCGUAAAGCGUGCGCAGGCUGUUCUGUAAGUCAGAUGUGAAAUCCCCGAGCUCAACUUGGGAACUGCGUUUGAAACUACAGGACUAGAAUAUGUCAGAGGGGGGUAGAAUUCCACGUGUAGCAGUGAAAUGCGUAGAGAUGUGGAGGAAUACCAAUGGCGAAGGCAGCCCCCUGGGAUAAUAUUGACGCU